RNAcentral lists this ribosomal RNA (301 nucleotides) under uncultured bacterium. RNAcentral describes it as "partial 16S ribosomal RNA". It matches the Rfam family "Bacterial small subunit ribosomal RNA", at positions 509 to 808 of the family's 1533-position model. The record is from RNAcentral.
CAGUAGCCACGGUAAUACGAGGGGGGCAAGCGUUGUUCGGAAUUAUUGGGCGUAAAGGGUGCGUAGGCGGUUUGACAAGUCUUAUGUGAAAUCUCUGGGCUCAACCCAGAGUCUGCAUGGGAAACUGUCGGGCUUGAGUAUGGGAGAGGUGAGUGGAAUUUCCGGUGUAGCGGUGAAAUGCGUAGAUAUCGGAAGGAACACCUGUGGCGAAAGCGGCUCACUGGACCAUAACUGACGCUGAGGCACGAAAGCUAGGGGAGCAAACAGGAUUAGAUCCCCAGUAGUCCCUGUCUCUUAUACA